RNAcentral lists this long non-coding RNA (1081 nucleotides) under Gadus morhua (Atlantic cod). RNAcentral's name for it is "lncRNA (ENSGMOG00000029262.1)". The record is from RNAcentral. Lineage: Eukaryota; Metazoa; Chordata; Actinopteri; Gadiformes; Gadidae.
AUGGAAAAAAACAUAAGGGAUAACACUGUUGUUUUUAUUGGUCGUCAUGAAAAAAACAUAAGGGGUAACACUGUUGUUUUUAGUCGUCAUGAACAAAAACAUAAGGUAACACUGUUGUUUUUUAUUGGUCGUCAUGAAAAAAACAUAAGGGGUAACACUGUUGUUUUUUAUUGGUUGCCAUGAAAAAACAACUAAGGGGUAACACUGUUGUUUUUAUUGGUCGUCAUGAAAAAAAACAUAAGGGGUAUCAUUGUUGUUUUUUAUUUGUCGUCAUGAAAAAAACAUAAGGGGUAACACUGUUCAUCGGUCGUCAUGAAAAAAAUCAUGAGGGGCAACAUUGUUGUUUUUUAUUGGUCGUCAUGAAAAAAAACAUAAGGGGUAACACUGUUGUUUUUUAUUGGUCGUCAUGAAAAAAAACAUAAGGGGUAACACUGUUGUCUUUGUCAAAUAAAAUAUAAGUGGUAACACUGUCGUUUUUUAUCAGUCGUCAUGAAAAAUCAUAAGGGGUAACACUGUUGUUUUUUAUUGGUUGUCAUGAAAAAAAACAUAAGGGGUAACACUGUUGUUUUUAUUGGUCGUCAUGAAAAAAAACAUAAUGGGUAACACUGUUGUAUUUCAUUGGUCGUCAUGAAAAAAAACAUAAGGGGUAACACUGUUGUUUUUCAUUGGUCGUCAUGAAAAAAAACAUAAGGGGUAACACUGUUGUUUUUAUUGGCCGUCAUGAAAAAAAUCAUAAGGGGUAACACUGUUGUUUUUUAUUGGUCGUCAUGAAAAAAACAUAAGGGGUAACACUGUUGUUUUUUAUUGGUCGUCAUGAAAAAAAAAGAAAAGGGGAAACACUGUUGUUUUUUAUCGGUCGUCAUGAAAAAAGACAUAAGGGGUAUCAUUGUUGUUUUUAUUGGCCGUCAUGAAAAAAAUCAUAAGGGGUAACAUUGCUGUUUUUUAUUGGUCGCCAUGAAAAAACAAAAGGGGUAACACUGUUGUUUUUUAUUGGUCGUCAUGAAAAAAAACAUAAGGGGUAACACUGUUGUCUUUCUCAAAUAAAAUAUUAGUGGUAACACUGUUUUUUUUUAUUGGUCGU